This 346-nucleotide unclassified non-coding RNA is filed under the name soil metagenome. RNAcentral's name for it is "partial contains 5.8S ribosomal RNA, internal transcribed spacer 2, and large subunit ribosomal RNA". The stretch from base 1 to 120 matches the Rfam family "5.8S ribosomal RNA", at positions 35 to 154 of the family's 154-position model. The record is from RNAcentral.
GAUGAAGAACGCAGCGAAAUGCGAUAAGUAAUGUGAAUUGCAGAAUUCAGUGAAUCAUCGAGUCUUUGAACGCACAUUGCGCCCCCUGGUAUUCCGGGGGGCAUGCCUGUCCGAGCGUCAUUGCUGCCCUCAAGCACGGCUUGUGUGUUGGGCCCCCGCCCCCCGGCUUCGGGGGGCGGGCCCGAAAGGCAGCGGCGGCACCGCGUCCGGUCCUCGAGCGUAUGGGGCUUCGUCACCCGCUCUGUAGGCCCGGCCGGCGCCAGCCGACAACCCAUCAUCCUUUUCAGGUUGACCUCGGAUCAGGUAGGGAUACCCGCUGAACUUAAGCAUAUCAAUAAGCGGAGGA